Non-coding RNA from Pelobates cultripes (western spadefoot toad), 304 nucleotides. The record is from the annotation of a GenBank genome assembly. Lineage: Eukaryota; Metazoa; Chordata; Amphibia; Anura; Pelobatidae.
AUUUUUUUUAAAUAAUGCAUUAUUUCUGUGGCACCCUAAUGCAAUAAUGUACAGAGGUAAAAUACAUAUCAUUAACUAUUUGUCGUCUUUCCAUUUCAGAAAACAUGUAAUAGAAUUGGCAUUUUACCUGAAGUGUGAUAAACUAUAAGGAUGCGUAUUGCAGUGUUUCAUUUUGGGGUUGUUACAGCACAUUAUAGAAGAGAGCACAAAUGAUAGCCUUCUCAAGCACAUUUAUUUAGGACAUUUUAUUCUGCAGUCAUUAUCGAUUUUAAUCUCUAUGUACUUUUGUAAUGUACAUUUUCAA